RNAcentral lists this long non-coding RNA (1310 nucleotides) under Chrysemys picta bellii (western painted turtle). RNAcentral's name for it is "lncRNA (ENSCPBG00000000286.1)". The record is from RNAcentral. Lineage: Eukaryota; Metazoa; Chordata; Testudines; Emydidae.
AAAGAAGAAGCCUAGUGAUCUGAAACCUUUUUAUUUAGUUUUCAAUGACCCACUUGUACGUGUACAUGAGUGUGUCUUGUCAAAAAUCAGAGGCUAUCCCUUAGUGAAGUAUCUUUAUAUAUCUGUCUGCUGUGCAAUGAAAUAAAAAAGAAAAAAGGAAAAUAUGCAUAUUAAACAAAUGCAUAAAGAGGGAAGAUGAUUUUUUUUGGCCAAGGAUCUGGACUGGGACCCAGGGUAUUUGUGUUCAGUUCUCAACUCAGUCACAGACUAUGUGAUCUUGAGCAAAUCACUUAAUCUUUCUGGGGGAAAUUUUCAGAUGCACAAAUGGCAGUUAGGUAUUUAGGCAUUUAACUGCUGUUGAAAGUCAAUCUCCGAUCUGUACCUUUGAACAUCUCCUCCUCUCUACUUCAGUUUCCCACCUUUUGGGAAUAAUACUUUAUUUUCCUCACCUUUUGUCUUUUUUUUUUUUUUCUUCUUUCUCCUGUUUAGAGUAUAAGCUUUUCAGAGGGUGGGCUGUAACUGUGUUUGUGAAACACCUCCUAGCUUAGAGAGGCCCCAAUCUAGAUACUACCAUAAUACUAUGGAGAAUAAUUUGCUCUAACUUUACUGCUACAUUAGCAGAAAAUCUUCAUCUGCUGCUUAAGUUACGGGUUUGUUGGAAUUUUUGAAAGCAUUUAUUAGGGUUUACUUAAAUGCACAUCCAUGUCAAAGUUAUUACUAUACUUUCUUUCCUCAGCAUGCGUGCAUGUGUACACUUUUUUGCCACAUCUCACUGAUGUGUGGUUUAAAAAGUCAUGGAUUGCAAUAGACUUUAAAACCCAGCUGCUAGGCUGAACAAUCCAUUAACCAUAAUUCCUGAGCACUAGAUUUUUUUGCAGCUUUAAAUAUGCAUAGACAUGUAACCCUGUCCCUUCAGUCUCUCUGGGCUGGCUCCAUUCUUGUAGGCCAGCAGGGGAUCGAAACUGACAAGCUUCCUGCUGGUCUGGAGCUUCAGAGAAUAGGAAACUUCUUAACUUCAAUUCCCAGCUAACAAGAAUGAAGUUAGUGUGCCAGGCUGAAAGACUGCGUAGUACAGACAUCCAGAUCUGCAAACACAACAGGUUACCCAGCAUUAAUGUUGAUAUUAACAUUGGGACAAGCCUUGAUUUGCACCAAUGAUGGAAGAAGGGGGGGAAAAGUAUUUAUUAUGUUGGGAGUUAUUACAUUCAGGACUUGUCAGCCUUGACCUUAUAUUCCAAAGGAUCUCUUGUGUUAAAACGUCAUGAUUGCUUAGGUGAACAGAGACACACAAUAUCGUGAUUUUACAGCUG